This 69-nucleotide transfer RNA is filed under the name Pitta nympha. RNAcentral's name for it is "tRNA-Gly". It matches the Rfam family "tRNA". Rfam says of the family: Transfer RNA (tRNA) molecules are approximately 80 nucleotides in length. Their secondary structure includes four short double-helical elements and three loops (D, anti-codon, and T loops). Lineage: Eukaryota; Metazoa; Chordata; Aves; Passeriformes; Pittidae. The record is from RNAcentral.
GCCUCCCUAGUAUAUCAAAUACAAUUGACUUCCAAUCUUUAAAAUCUGGUUUAAACCCAGAGAGAGGCA